Molecule: ribosomal RNA, 433 nt
Filed under: uncultured bacterium
Lineage: Bacteria
Description: partial 16S ribosomal RNA
Rfam family: Bacterial small subunit ribosomal RNA
Source: RNAcentral
AACGAACGCUGGCGGCAUGCCUAACACAUGCAAGUCGAACGAGACCUUCGGGUCUAGUGGCGCCCGGGUGCGUAACGCGUGGGAACCUGCCCUUAGGUUCGGAAUAACUCCCCGAAAGGGGUGCUAAUACCGGAUAAUGUCUUCGGACCAAAGAUUUAUCGCAUUUGGAUGGGCCCGCGUUGGAUUAGCUAGUUGGUAGGGUAAAAGCCUACCAAGGCGACGAUGCAUAGCUGGUCUGAGAGGAUGAUCAGCCACACUGGGACUGAGACACGGCCCAGACUCCUACGGGAGGCAGCAGUGGGGAAUAUUGGACAAUGGGCGAAAGCCUGAUCCAGCAAUGCCGCGUGAGUGAUGAAGGCCUUAGGGUUGUAAAGCUCUUUUACCCGGGAUGAUAAUGACAGUACCGGGAGAAUAAGCUCCGGCUAACUCCGUG